ACUUACAUAGCUUAUAAGAGAGCAUUGCAUUGAAGCUGCAAAGGAAACAGGUAAUGUUUGUGAGUG
This 66-nucleotide transfer RNA is filed under the name Trachypenaeus curvirostris. RNAcentral describes it as "tRNA-Phe". It matches the Rfam family "tRNA". From Rfam's summary of the family: Transfer RNA (tRNA) molecules are approximately 80 nucleotides in length. The record is from RNAcentral. Lineage: Eukaryota; Metazoa; Arthropoda; Malacostraca; Decapoda; Penaeidae.